GGGCGCGUAGCUCAGUUGGCAGAGCAGCGGACUCUUAAUCCGCGGGUCGUAGGUUCGAUCCCUACCGCGCCUACCA
RNAcentral lists this transfer RNA (76 nucleotides) under Myxococcales bacterium. RNAcentral describes it as "tRNA-Lys". It matches the Rfam family "tRNA". Rfam says of the family: Transfer RNA (tRNA) molecules are approximately 80 nucleotides in length. Their secondary structure includes four short double-helical elements and three loops (D, anti-codon, and T loops). The record is from RNAcentral. Lineage: Bacteria; Pseudomonadati; Myxococcota; Myxococcia; Myxococcales.